RNAcentral lists this ribosomal RNA (906 nucleotides) under Alternaria alternata. RNAcentral's name for it is "partial large subunit ribosomal RNA". It matches the Rfam family "Eukaryotic large subunit ribosomal RNA", at positions 36 to 957 of the family's 3401-position model. Lineage: Eukaryota; Fungi; Ascomycota; Dothideomycetes; Pleosporales; Pleosporaceae. The record is from RNAcentral.
AAGCAUAUCAAUAAGCGGAGGAAAAGAAACCAACAGGGAUUGCCCUAGUAACGGCGAGUGAAGCGGCAACAGCUCAAAUUUGAAAUCUGGCUUUUUUAGAGUCCGAGUUGUAAUUUGCAGAGGGCGCUUUGGCUUUGGCAGCGGUCCAAGUUCCUUGGAACAGGACGUCACAGAGGGUGAGAAUCCCGUACGUGGUCGCUGGCCUAUUGCCGUGUAAAGCCCCUUCGACGAGUCGAGUUGUUUGGGAAUGCAGCUCUAAAUGGGAGGUACAUUUCUUCUAAAGCUAAAUAUUGGCCAGAGACCGAUAGCGCACAAGUAGAGUGAUCGAAAGAUGAAAAGCACUUUGGAAAGAGAGUCAAACAGCACGUGAAAUUGUUGAAAGGGAAGCGCUUGCAGCCAGACUUGCUUACAGUUGCUCAUCCGGGUUUCUACCCGGUGCACUCUUCUGUAGGCAGGCCAGCAUCAGUUUGGGCGGUAGGAUAAAGGUCUCUGUCACGUACCUCCUUUCGGGGAGGCCUUAUAGGGGAGACGACAUACUACCAGCCUGGACUGAGGUCCGCGCAUCUGCUAGGAUGCUGGCGUAAUGGCUGUAAGCGGCCCGUCUUGAAACACGGACCAAGGAGUCUAACAUCUAUGCGAGUGUUUGGGUGUCAAGCCCGAGCGCGUAAUGAAAGUGAACGGAGGUGGGAACCCGCAAGGGUGCACCAUCGACCGAUCCUGAUGUCUUCGGAAGGAUUUGAGUAAGAGCAUGGCUGUUGGGACCCGAAAGAUGGUGAACUAUGCUUGAAUAGGGUGAAGCCAGAGGAAACUCUGGUGGAGGCUCGCAGCGGUUCUGACGUGCAAAUCGAUCGUCAAAUUUGGGCAUAGGGGCGAAAGACCUUAAUCGAACUAUCUAGUAGCUGGUUC